GAAACUACGCCUACAUGAAGCUGGAGUUGCUAGUAAUCGCGAAUCAGCAUGUCGCGGUGAAUACGUUCCCGGGCCUUGUACACGCCGCCCGUCACACCAUGAGAGUUGGGAUACCCGAAGCCUGUGAGCCAACUUUUUAAGAGGCAGCAGUCGAAGGUAGAAUCAAUGAUUGGGGUGAAGUCGUAACAAGGUAGC
Molecule: ribosomal RNA, 195 nt
Filed under: uncultured bacterium
Lineage: Bacteria
Description: partial 16S ribosomal RNA
Rfam family: Bacterial small subunit ribosomal RNA
Source: RNAcentral